UCCAUUUCCCUUCAAAAUGACAAGCAGGAUUGCUACAUUGACAUUUGCUCCCCAGAAGUUCUGAGCCUUUUCACGGAUAAUUUUGACUAUCAACAUUUGCGGCGUGAUUUCGUCAAGGGGUUGCUCGUCGAUGAUAUAAUGGGUUAUAAAAUCUACAGUCAUGAAAUUCAUUCAAGUUAUGCGGCUAGAAUUGACAACUAUAGAAGUUACCACACCAUUAGCAAGGACAUAAUUCAGCGGUGGACAUAUCCCUUGGUGCCUGAUGUCCAGUUUUUUGGAAAUUCUGCUACUAAAUUGGAAAGGCAGGGCAUGUAUCGAGCACCUGAAAUUAAGCAAUCCAGCUCAUCGAAAAUUGGUCCCUUUACUGUCAUUGGGUCUGGAACCAGUAUUGGGAACAACACAGAGAUUUCAAAUUCAGUUGUUGGGGAAGGUUGCUCGAUUGGGUCAAAUGUCACUAUAGAAAACUGCUAUAUAUGGCAUAAUGUCACUAUUGAAGAUGGCUGCAAACUGAAGCACUCAAUAGUUUGCGACGGUGUGACAAUGAAGUCUGGAGCAGCUUUAGAGCCUGGUGUCGUCUUGUCUUUUAAGGUUGUGAUUGGCAGGAAUUUCCUUGUACCUGCUUACUCCAAGGUAUCUUUGCAUCAGCAACCAAUCAAGCAAGAUAGUGAUGAGGAACUGGAAUAUGCUGACAAUAGUAGUGGGAUCACUGAAAGUCCAUCUGUCUCUGGUACUUCGGACCUGUUGAAUGAGGAAGAGAGGACUGAGCUACCUGACUCGCAAGAGUAUGAGGUUGGUGAUGGUGGAGUAGGUUUCAUAUGGCUAGUCAGUGAGGCUGGACAGGAAGAAGAAUGGAGACACUCUGUUGCACCAAUUCCUGUGGAUAAACUUGUUGAGAUCAUGCAAAUCUCUAAUGAUGAAACGGAUUUACCAAAUGAAGAUGGUGCUUUUCUUCCACCUUCUGGAGAACUGGGACCUGAUUCUAUUACUAAUGAUUCCAAUGAAGACGCUGAAGACAUUAGAGAUGACUCUGUGAUUUUUGAAAGAGAAGUUGAAGCAACUUUUCAAAGGGCUGUAGAGGAAGAUGUAACAGAUGACCAUGUAAUCUUAGAAGUUAAUUCGUUGCGGUUGUCAUACAAUAUGGCAUCUGCAGAUUGUGCAGGAGCUUUAUUUUAUUCAGUGAUGAAAUUGGCACUGGAUGCUCCACAUGACUCGCCUAAUGAAUUGUACAAGAAUGUUGUCUCCACGGUUAGGAAAUGGAAAAAGCUUCUGAAAUAUUACUUGUCAAGCAUUGAUGAAGAGAUUGAAGUAAUUUUGAAGUUUGAAGAAAUGUGCUUGGAGUCUGCCAGGGAAUAUUCUCCAUUAUUUGUACAGAUUUUGCAUCAUCUGUACGAUCAGGAUAUUAUACAAGAAGAGGCAAUACUUGACUGGGCCUCUGAAAAGGAAGGAGCAGAGGAGUCAGAUAAGAUUUUUGUCAAGCAAUCAGAAAAAUUUAUUCAGUGGCUCAAGGAAGCAUCUGAAGAAGAGGACGAGGAUUGACACAGUUACUCGGGACCCCGUAAGUUUAAAGCUGUUCUAACUACCUACAGAUACCUGACAGUUUGCCCUUGGAUGAACGUGGUACUCACCACUCAGAAACCUGACACAGCUGAGAAUCAAAACCUUAACCUCCUCCAGCGUAUAGUCCGAAUGUGUCAGUUAUACCCUUUUUCGUCACUUGUAUGAUCAUCAAAUAAUUCAUCUAUAGUGAAACUGAGGUGCCAUUUAGUCUGUAGUCUCUUCUGUAGCAAUUGCAGAGGUCAGUUUUGUUUCAAUAGAAUUGUCUCGAGGAAACUUCGACAUGUCAACUGUGUGCGGAAAUGUCAAGUAGUGAAGGAUUAGUUGCAAUGAAGCUUAAGAUGUUGGAGGGAGACACUGUUUCCUACUCGGUAAUUGUCAGUUCUAUGCCAUAAAACAACAUUUGAGCUUCUAUAUAUUAUUUUUUUCUCUGGACCCAUAGAACAGCUUUGUUGUAACUAAGACACCUGUUGGUGUCUUCUUGAGUAUCUG
Molecule: unclassified non-coding RNA, 2046 nt
Filed under: Hevea brasiliensis (rubber tree)
Lineage: Eukaryota; Viridiplantae; Streptophyta; Magnoliopsida; Malpighiales; Euphorbiaceae
Source: RNAcentral